This 359-nucleotide ribosomal RNA is filed under the name uncultured bacterium. Its description in RNAcentral is "bacterial SSU rRNA". It matches the Rfam family "Bacterial small subunit ribosomal RNA", at positions 128 to 487 of the family's 1533-position model. The record is from RNAcentral.
ACCCUUUAGACAGGAAUAGCCCAUGGAAACGUGGAUUAAUGCCUGAUAGUCUCUACGGAGUAAAUGGUGCCUCCGGGUAUCGCUAGAGGAUGGGCUCGCGGCCUAUCAGCUUGUUGGUGAGGUAAAGGCUCACCAAGGCGACGACGGGUAGCUGGUCUGAGAGGACGAUCAGCAACACUGGAACUGAGACACGGUCCAGACACCUACGGGUGGCAGCAGUCGAGAAUCAUUCACAAUGGAGGCAACUCUGAUGGUGCAACGCCGCGUGGAGGAUGACGGUCCUAGGAUUGUAAACUCCUGUCAUUGGGGAGUAAGACUUAAGCGUUAAGAGCGUUUAAGUUUGAUAGUACCCAAAGAGG